ACGGAAGGCAGCAGUGAGGAAUAUUGGUCAAUGGAGGCAACUCUGAACCAGCCAUCUCGCGUGAAGGAAUACGGCCCUACGGGUCUUAAACUUCUUUUAUAGGGGGAUAAAGUGAGGCAUGUAUGCCUUUUUGUAGGUACCCUAUGAAUAAGCAUCGGCUAACUCCGUGCCAGCAGCCGCGGUAAUACGGAGGAUGCGAGCGUUAUCCGGAUUUAUUGGGUUUAAAGGGUGCGCAGGCGGCACGUUAAGUCAGCGGUGAAAUGUCGGGGCUCAACCCGGGCACUGCCGUUGAAACUGGCGAGCUUGAGUACGGAUGAAGUCGGCGGAAUGUGAUGUGUAGCGGUGAAAUGCUUAGAUAUGUCACAGAACACCGAUCGAGAAGUCAGGUCACGAGCUCGCAACUGACGCUCAGGCACGAAAGCGUGGGGAUCAAACAGGAUUAGAUACCCUGGUA
This 454-nucleotide ribosomal RNA is filed under the name uncultured Parabacteroides sp. Its description in RNAcentral is "partial 16S ribosomal RNA". It matches the Rfam family "Bacterial small subunit ribosomal RNA", at positions 341 to 792 of the family's 1533-position model. Lineage: Bacteria; Pseudomonadati; Bacteroidota; Bacteroidia; Bacteroidales; Tannerellaceae. The record is from RNAcentral.